RNAcentral lists this ribosomal RNA (505 nucleotides) under uncultured bacterium. RNAcentral's name for it is "partial 16S ribosomal RNA". It matches the Rfam family "Bacterial small subunit ribosomal RNA", at positions 28 to 507 of the family's 1533-position model. The record is from RNAcentral.
GACGAACGCUGGCGGCGUGCCUAAUACAUGCAAGUAGAACGCACAGUUUAUACCGUAGCUUGCUACACCAUAGACUGUGAGUUGCGAACGGGUGAGUAACGCGUAGGUAACCUGCCUGGUAGCGGGGGAUAACUAUUGGAAACGAUAGCUAAUACCGCAUAAUAUUAAUUAUUGCAUGAUAAUUAAUUGAAAGGUGCAAUUGCACCACUACCAGAUGGACCUGCGUUGUAUUAGCUAGUAGGUGAGGUAACGGCUCACCUAGGCGACGAUACAUAGCCGACCUGAGAGGGUGAGCGGCCACACUGGGACUGAGACACGGCCCAGACUCCUACGGGAGGCAGCAGUAGGGAAUCUUCGGCAAUGGACGAAAGUCUGACCGAGCAACGCCGCGUGAGUGAAGAAGGUUUUCGGAUCGUAAAGCUCUGUUGUAAGAGAAGAACGGGGGUGAGAGUGGAAAGUUCACACUGUGACGGUAUCUUACCAGAAAGGGACGGCUAACUACGUG